GUCUAUGCCCAUACUACCAUGAAUGUGCCUGAUCUUGUAUGAUUGCAGAAGCUAAGCAUGGUCUGGCCUGGUUAGUACUUGGAUGGGAGACCACCUGAAGAAAUUCAUGACCACCAAACC
Molecule: ribosomal RNA, 120 nt
Filed under: Heterocephalus glaber (naked mole-rat)
Lineage: Eukaryota; Metazoa; Chordata; Mammalia; Rodentia; Bathyergidae
Source: RNAcentral